AAAAGAAGGAAAGGGAAAGGAAGAGAAAAGGAAUUUAUAGGAAAAGGGAAUAGGGUGAAGAAGAAGGGAGAUUAGCGAGAGAUUUCAACUCUGACUUAGAGGCUACCCAAAUCAGUGAGUGGGAAUAAACUUUUCUUUCUU
This is a long non-coding RNA of Mangifera indica (mango), 141 nucleotides long. RefSeq lists it as uncharacterized. The record is from RefSeq and is a predicted model, not a curated record. The transcript has 2 exons. NCBI's taxonomy places the organism in Eukaryota, Viridiplantae, Streptophyta, Magnoliopsida, Sapindales, Anacardiaceae.